RNAcentral lists this ribosomal RNA (454 nucleotides) under uncultured organism. RNAcentral describes it as "partial 16S ribosomal RNA". It matches the Rfam family "Bacterial small subunit ribosomal RNA", at positions 331 to 801 of the family's 1533-position model. The record is from RNAcentral.
GUACACUCCUGCGGGAGGCAGCAGUGGGGAAUAUUGGACAAUGGGCGCAAGCCUGAUCCAGCCAUGCCGCGUGAGUGAUGAAGGCCCUAGGGUUGUAAAGCUCUUUCACCGGUGAAGAUAAUGACGGUAACCGGAGAAGAAGCCCCGGCUAACUUCGUGCCAGCAGCCGCGGUAAUACGAAGGGGGCUAGCGUUGUUCGGAUUUACUGGGCGUAAAGCGCACGUAGGCGGACUAUUAAGUCAGGGGUGAAAUCCCGGGGCUCAACCCCGGAACUGCCUUUGAUACUGGUAGUCUUGAGUUCGAGAGAGGUGAGUGGAAUUCCGAGUGUAGAGGUGAAAUUCGUAGAUAUUCGGAGGAACACCAGUGGCGAAGGCGGCUCACUGGCUCGAUACUGACGCUGAGGUGCGAAAGCGUGGGGAGCAAACAGGAUUAGAAACCCGUGUAGUCCCAUGAU